GGAGAAGAGAGAAGAAAAGAAAAAAAAGAGAAAAACUUUUCUUUUGGAAGGAGGGGUAACCCCAGAACCAGGCUGAGGUGGCUCGAAUUAAAAUGGAGGAUACUGACAAACGUCAAGGGUCCAGCUUAUCAUCAAAGCAUCCUGACCCGAAACCCACCGCUCUGUGUACAAAUCACUGGGUCUGCACCCGAGAAAAGGUGGCGAAUCCAGAGUCCACCCCACAAUUCUCGAGUCUCAGACGACUCAGCUGUGUCAACAGGCGAGAGAAUCUUCUUGUGUAACGGCUAAGUAGAGCUUUCUUUAACUCUAAGCCCAAGAUGGUUGUCCUUUCUCAAAGCAGGGUUCAGAACACACGACAAAGGCAGGGCCAUCCACGUGUGCAGUGUCUCUCCUUAGCUCACUGCUCUCAGGGUAGCCCUGAGGGGUGCAUAGGUUUCACAGGUGGGAUUUCCCACACCACUGUACCAAAUGUGUCAUAGUGUCCAUUUCUGGUCAUUCGGGUCACCUUCUAUUUCCAGCAAACGAGCAACCAUAUUGUCUCGGGGGAGGGGUCUGUCCCCCUCCAAGACACCACUGAUGAUUCAGUCAGCCGGUGGACACAUUCCAGCCACCACUCCUCCUUAGUCUGUUGCUUCCUGGAGACUCAAGAUGCAUUCAGAUAAUCAUUAUCCUCCAGCCUUCACUGAUCCUGACAUCAUUAGGAGAUUCUUCCAUAGCUCCCAGAUGGAGGCUUGAGGUUCUCUGAGGCUACCUCAGGUUCUUUUCACUUAGAAAUUGGAUCUGGAAGAGCCAACUUCACCUAUUUCUUCCUUCAGGGCCUCCUAAACCCUUGGUUCAUUGAGGCUGUUAUUUGGGUACUGUCUGCCCACAUGAAACAUUGUCUCUGACAGGGCCUUCACAUCUCUAACUUAUUCCCCCAUCCCCCAUCUCCCCUCCUCCCUUCCCCUUCAGCUGAGGGGAAAUGUGACAGGAGAGAAGUGGGGACCGGGAUAGCUAGAGUACUUUCAGUCCUGAAUACUCAAGGUCAGCAGACUGUACACCGUUGGUGCUAUCUGCAUCCUGGGAACUCCAAGCGCCAUUCUGUUCUUGGGAGACCGAUUUUCUUUUGUGAGACCAGCAAGGCUGUAAAGUUGAGACCACAGCGUGGUUGAGAAAGAAACACGUCGGCAAGGGAGGUUUUUUUUUCCAGUGUUUGACUCAGAGGCUGAAGUUUCAGACAGACCAAUGCUGGAAAGCCAUUCAGUGCAUCCCAGGCUGAAGGGGAGAGAGAUUUGGCUCUAUAUCCCUAGAGGUAGAGAUCUCUGGAGAGAUCUCUCAUGCUCCAUGUUGUCUUUGUCCACUUCUGAGGCUGCUCCAUGCUCAAAAGGCUGGAUCUAGGAUGCACUGGUUGUCUCCUGGCCUCAGUCUUCCGAGGAGGACAGACCUUGUUCCUCUCCGAGGAGGGUAGAGCGCUCGUUACAGCUGGUGCUCCAGGGUAGCAGAAAUGCUUGAGCAAGUUGGUCGCAACUCCGUAAGAACCGCUGUUGCCCUCGCCUGGCUGUGGUUGCCAUUCAACGACAGGAGAGCAAAAUCUCGGAGUGGUUUUAUAAUGACAGCCGUAAAUGAGGGUGCUUGAGCCCCUUUAAAUCGUUUCUUCUAAAGUGACACGAUUGCAUUUGUCUCAUUUAUACAAAGGUCACCAAGCUCAUACCCAGCUAAUGAAUGGGAAAGCGUGAAGAACUUCAGACAGCGCACAGCGGACCUAAGAGGCACAGGUGGAGGAUGGCAGGCCCUAGUGUCAGGUGUCAGCAGAAUACCUGACGACUGUUGUGUUCUGUUAGGCCCCAUGCCCACCGGGUCCUGUCAAGCCUUCCUGUGUCUGCAACGGAAAUGUCUGAAACAGGCACACAAACUAAGAAGACUGGCAAUCAUUUCAAGCAACUAUGUAUCAAGUGGAGGCAGAUGCCAGGGUGUCGGAACACAGCUUACGACACUGGUGCGGGCGUACACGUCAUCUGCAGGGUUUCCCUACCUUGCCACCAGUGUGGAAGAUGCAAUCAUUUCUGGGAUCCAUCUCGUGUUUACACUGAGCGUGUGACUCAGCCUGCAGAUCUUCCAGUGGCCUGCUUUCUGAAACAUCAGGACAGUUGCAAAAAGAGGCAAGGCACCUCUGCCUUGUGGUGGAUCUGGGGAGCAUUUCAAAACUGGGUGCAGGAGGCUCACCCAGCUGUUGGGGCGGGGGGGGGGGGAGAGAGCUGUGAGAACGCUUUCGUCUGCAGGCUCACCUGCCUCACCAGGCCUCUUCACUGCCUCUGCCCAAGAUGUGAGCACUCGUCCCAUUCACCCUCUGCAGGCCACGUUCUACUCCCUCUAGCUGGUUCACAGUUAACAGCAGCCCAUGCUCCUACCCACAGUAGUUAACUUCUGUCCAGGUACCUUGGACAGGAGGUUUGGUGUCUCUCAACCACAGUUGCCAGGCCAAGUAGAGGAGUAGGCUCUUCUGACGCUGGCCACAGUUCUACCAACUGCUUGCCAGACUUGAAUGCAGGCUUCUGUGUAAGGGUCUCUUAUGCUAUGCAGUUGAUAAUUCAGGCCUAAAUAAAAUGUCUUUGACAUGCACACAUUUUCUGGAGGUCACACCCCAGUCUUCUUACUCUUUGAGGAAUUGGGCUGCCCUUUGGUAUUGUGUGUGUUGGGGGCUAUUCUAAGUUAUGAAAGCACAAAAGGAGGAAAAAACCCUUACACUCCCUGAAUAGAAGGUUCCUAUGUUUGACAUGAGAGAACUGUCUUGUUUGCGCUUGCCAGGAGCACGCGCAUCUGAGGAGCAGCCAUACUUGGCCUCUGGGCCCCGGUCCUUGAAUCUUACAGGUAGCACUAUCUUAAGCUCAAGGGUGACCUGUAUCUGGUACCUUAGGGUGGCCUCUUGCCACCUCCCUUGUUAUGUAGACAAGCUGCAAACCUGAGUUUGUGUUGGAUCUCACUCAGUCCCGGCAGCUGACCUCCACUCAUUGCUUGAGGCCGGUUGACUUAGAGGUUUCCUGUCUAUAGGACUCUCUUCUCUUUUGGCUCCUAUGGAUGCUGUCUUACCAUCUUGCAGUAACAAUUCUCUCCAUAGGUCUUGGCUCUGAGGCUCUGACUGACUCCACAGUCCUGGGCACAGGGCAGUGAAGACCAGGACCUUGAAGUCGGCUGUAGCUUAGAUUUUGUAGUUUUGGCUAUACAAACAAUUUUUAGAGGCUGGGCAGCUUGGCCCAGAUAGAAUCGAAGACCAACUGACCCAAUUUUUAUAAAACUGGGGUCACAAUCUUGUACUGGGUCAUGUGGGAGCAUUUGGGGGCCAUGAAAAAAAUUGGGAACAGUAAAAGGUUUCCAAAUGUGCAAUGGCCAAAAAUUAACUCAGAACCAUAAUGACUCUGAGGUGUUUCCGUGACCUCAUUGCAGCCUUGGUCCUGAAAAUAUAGUGUGUGCGUUUGCACGGUGUGCUGGCUACUGCUUGUCACAGCCAGGAAUGCAGAUUGAGACACCCCAGCUCAGAUUGGGGGCUACUGUGUGUAAUCAUUGCAGUGUAUCAACUCUACACACUGAGUUCCCUUCUCUUACAGGAAGCUAAUGAGUUAAUGCUGGAAACCAAACUCUUACUAUGCUCCUACUGUCACUUCUCAGCAUGCAAGGAUCAGAUCAGCCUGUCUGUGGAUUUUAUUGUCUGAUUUUUAACAAUUAAUGCUUCAGACCUUGACUUGAGCUUCAUAAAACACACACACACACACACACACACACACACACACACACACACACACACACGGAGAGAGAGAGAGACAGAGAGAGACAGAGAGAGAUAGAGAGAGAGACAGAGAGACAGAGAAAGACACACAGAGAGAUACAUUUUAGCUUUAGAUCAAAAGGAAAAUUCCAACAAUUUUUAAAAAGAUCCUAACCAUACUUAGGCCAUUUUGGGCUUUGUGCUUUAUAAAGUAGUAUUCCUAGCAUCUAUGGCUAUAAAAUCAAAAUAUCAACCAACUCUGGGAAUCCUGGAAGAUACUCUGUCCUGAGGCAUCCUGUAUGCAGCUGUGUUUUUUGCUUUUAAUGCAAAAAACAAAGAUACCCAUCCAUUUCAUUUGAAUGGAUUAGAAAUUUGCUUUUGUCUUUAAUAAUUGGUAACAUUAUAAGUACACUGAAAGGAUUGUUUCAAAAUAAAUUCCUUCAUAAUUUAUUAUUGGUAAACAUUUGGUUUGCAUAUAUGUAUGUGUGCAUAUAUAGGUGUGUGUUCAUGCGUGCAUGUGUGAGAGUGUGUGUGUGUGUGUGUGUGUGUAUGUGUGUGUGAGUGUCCUAAAUACCUGGAGGGGAUUGGCUGUUUGAAUUCUCUAUGGUGUCUCCCCAACAUUCAAACCCAAACUCAAUCCCCAUUGGGACAUAAUAAGAGGGUUAGGGCAUGAAUCAGUCAGGCAAGCUACAAGGAUCCAGCCAGGUGCAUUUCCUCCUCCUGUCCUCCCGGCCAUGUGAGGUCAAGGGGCCAUCUUAUAAGCAGAAUCUCAGUUCAUCAGAACCAGAAUAUUCUCACUCCAUACUAGAUACUUUGUUUCCAGAAUCAUCCAUGAGAAGUUCAUUGCUCUUACUUACAAAAGCCCCAGUUUGAGGCAUUAUGAGAAAACACAAAGAGAGUCACUUGUAACUUCCCAAAGCUCACACAGGCUGGUGAGCAUUAAAAACUCAAUGCUGAUUCUUUUCCUGAACCUCUAAGGGGUGCCCUUGGCUGUUCUACCCUCAGCCCUUUUGCUCUCAUGCGACAGUCAAGGACCAAGUGUUCACAGUGACCAGUGGACCUCAUGCUGUCCUCAGCAGUGGACAGCCAGCCAUUACAGGGCAGUCUGGCCCUCCUGGGGGACCUGUGUGGCAUCCAUGCUCCUCAGGGAUUCCUACAGCCUCAGCUCAUGUUCAUCCUAAAGCAGGUGGUUCAGCUCCAGAACUCUGCAUCCCUUCCAGAUCACUAUGUUCUUGGGAGGAAAGAAGAAAAUGUUUUCUAUGUCUUGUUUAUUCUCUUCUAAAAAGACAAUUAGGCUGCAGAGCUUCUCAGGAACACCUCUAGCUCCCAGCCUCCAGGGCUGGAACCUCUGAGAGAGUAAGAGUGCCCUCAAAGCCAGGGUCCAAAGUACUCCGUGGACUGAUUUAGAGUAGAUAUCCCAGAUAUCGAAGACCCAAGAGGAGGUGAGUUCUAGAUCUCUGAUGUUGGGCAGGGAGAGGUGUCACAAUUAGUAUUUACUGUUUCAGUUCAUAAGAGGGGCCGGCACAUAUCUGAGUUAAUGUCGACAGAGAGGCUACCAUGGUGUAUAGCCAGAGACAAGCUUGGGAUAAUGAGAGCAGGUCACAUUGAAGAAGUCAAGCAGCCAAUGUCAUUUUGUGUCAUGUGAAAGGGUGAUAGAGUACCGGAAUUUUUAAAAUGUCCCUGUACCUCAGGUGCUUGAGUACCUCAACUGCCACAGGUUUCUAUUCUCUCUCCCAGUGUCCCCUCCAGGAGGGAAGCAUACAGCGGAGCCCUGCCUCAUCUCUCCUUCAGCUCUCUCUGUGCUAUGAUCAGCUACCCAGAAUUUCCCCUUGUCUGCUGACAGUAUUGCCUUGCAGGGCAUAGAAGUGCAUUGCACAUAGCAUGUAGGAGGGAGAGAUUUCUGUAUACCAUGGAGACGAUACAGGGACUGUUUGAUGGUGCUGGGGGCAUACUUGGUGUCCAAGUUUGGCAGCGCCCUCAUCGAGAUGCCGCCUGAUCUCUUUGCCAGCCGGCUUACAGGAUUCUUGCUUGAUGAUUACGGCUGGAUGGGGAACAGCAGACUCGAUUGAAUGGCGUAGGGAACAGCCCGUAAAUCCUUCGGAGAGUCAUCUCCCCGUCAUUGUCAGCUCUGACUCCUCGGCUCUUACCAACCAGUGAUAUGGGCAUCAUUAUGGUCUCCUUCACUCAUCCUUCACAGUUUAGAGAUGGGGAAAGGGAGAUUAAUUGUAGAGCGAGACUCUUCAACCAUUCGCUGAACCUAUACACCCCUGACAUUAAUCUUUCCCCAAGUGCCAUAUCUUUAACUUGAAAAAAAAAAUCAACCAGGCAGAACCAUGCGUAGAUACAUGCAAAUGCAAAUACAUAAACAGGGAGCAGAGCUGCGGUUGGGGGGAGAGGGCUGUCGGGAGCCGGAGAAUCAGCUGAGAAGGAAGAUGAUGCAUGGGGCUCUUUCUGCAGAAAGCCCUAUCCAUGACUUCCAUUUAUCUGGGACCAUGCGCUAUUUAUCAGAACGGCUUGUUUUGGGUUUGCGCUGUGGAAGACGUUUCCAUGUUCAGUCUGCUCUCAAAUCUUGUGAAUAAAAAUGACUUCGAUGCUUGCUCUCCCACAUACUUCUCCGUCUACAGGCGGAGUCUAGGGACCAUUUGCCCACUAAAUGCUCCUCCAUUCAACAGGAAAACAGACUAAAUAUGCUGAUUCUGAGGUUUUCCACAUUGUAGUGAUUUUUUUCCCCCCAAGUUACAUUAGUCUUAUCACACAUAACUUGGCCAGACCGCUGGACUGCUAGAUGCAGCCUGGAAGACUGACUGCUUAUCUAUACAGAGAUUUUUAGAUAACCAAAGGUCUCUUUUUGCACUGGUAAAAUCAUGCUAACCAGAAAGGCAAAAAAAAAGGCUUCCCCCAGAGGACACAGUGGUGCUCGAGCCUGGGUGGCUGCUGCAGACUCUGUCACAGGACUCUCUUCUCUGCAUUCUCUCCUCAGUGCAGACUGAAACAGUGGAGAUGCCAACACCCAGCACAGUGCAGGUAAGGAGAGGAGCAUGGGUGUGUCUCCCGACUGCUGGUAAGCAGGGUCCUUUAACUACUUGGGUUAAGUUGGAUCUCUCCUCA
Rattus norvegicus (Norway rat) is the source of this 6847-nucleotide non-coding RNA. NCBI's taxonomy places the organism in Eukaryota, Metazoa, Chordata, Mammalia, Rodentia, Muridae. The record is from RefSeq and is a predicted model, not a curated record.